Hippocampus comes (tiger tail seahorse) is the source of this 5016-nucleotide long non-coding RNA. RefSeq lists it as uncharacterized. The record is from RefSeq and is a predicted model, not a curated record. Lineage: Eukaryota; Metazoa; Chordata; Actinopteri; Syngnathiformes; Syngnathidae. The transcript has 2 exons.
AGUUACUCCUCAAUCCCGGUGUUUUGGUUUUUUUGUUUGUUUUUUUUUGUGUGUGUGCUGUGCAGACCGCGACCGAGCUGCUUGUGUGCUUGGCUUGCUCCAACACGAAUAAUGCAUGCUUGCCCGACCAUUCCCCGCCGGACUACCCUUUACUCCUCCCUUGCCCCUGGAAUCACCUUGGGGCUUUGCGCUCCUUUCUUGUUUUUACUCCCUUUUGCAUGACCACAUCUGGCCCUUUUGAUGUUAUUCCGCUUUGUCCUCUGGUGUUUUUUGAUUGGUUGUUAUCCGACCCUCAAUUCCUCUUCGAAGCAAGCUGAUGAUUUUGCACACAGCUGCCUGCUUUUGUGAACUUCACAUCAUACUUUGCUCUUUCACCGUUCCCUGUCUUUCAACCAAUUGCCAAAGCCUUCUCUGAGAGAAGACCAUUAUUACUUUUUGGUUGCUCUCCCUAAUUCACUGCUCCUUACCUUACUUUUUUUUUGUGCUCGGAAUCUCCAAUUGCUUCCCAAACGAUCGACAUCACUUUGUCGUGCUUGUUUUUGUGUUUGUCCCCAUUGUGCUCCGUGAGGAUUUUUUUUGUUGUUUUUGUUUUGUGUUUUUGUUUCGGCUUAAACUGUUGGCUUGCCAAAUUCAGGAGGACACCCUCCCGGUACUGUGGCAGCCUUUGUGGGUGAUGCCGUGAGUUUUCACACACAACUCCAAAGGGAAGUAGUUGUCCACGCUGGGACAGAAUUUACCACCGUGAAAUUGUUGGCCACUAAAGACUGUUGAGAGAACGAAGAGGCAUGGGGAAUGCGUGCCAACUCGAAGCACAGCGGAUGAGAUGUAGGAUCAUGUGAAGAGAUGUUUGCUCCACUUUUAAAUGACUGGUGGGAGAGUUGAUUUGACGGAUUAAUUGCGCGCUACAACAUGGGCGUAAACGGCCGUGAGAGUGAUUUAAAUGUAAGCCAAUGAAUCCAGUCUCCCGUUACAACUUUAUUCCCUCUUAUUUGUUGUAAAAGUUUUAAACUUUUUAGAAUUUUAGAACUACAUAUCUUAAAGUUAUGACUUUAUUUGCAGUAUUCCAAUUUAGACUACAGUAUUCCCGUAAGCUUUUGCCUUUGUUCUCAUUCCCCAGCCGUCUUAAAACAGUUGAGCAGGAUUUUCCUCAAACAUAAUUGUUUUUAAUACAUUUUAUUUUUUUUUACGUGCAGAAAAUGCACAAACAAAUUAAGAUUCAGUUACUGUUUUAUUUAUUUUUUUGUCCAUAAGGCAGAAAAAGUGUCGAUCGUUAUUUUCCAAAUUAAAAACACAGGUUUGCGAGCCUUUGUUGCAGUCCUCUGUGCAAUCCCCAUAACAGAGUGCCAGAGGAGCUGUUAUGAAAAGCCUCCAAACCAUUAACCCUCAAAUACUGAAUCAAACACUUGUUUGAUCAGUCUAGAUUUAGUAUUAGCCUUGGAGUACUUUAUGCAAACAAAAAUGGCCCCUGCCCCACAGCGGGUAAAAUCACCUGCCCCGGACUGCCGAGAAAACAAAACGACCACAAAUCGGACUACUAGUCACACACUUGCGACCGCAAGGCUUUACAACAGGGCUUUCACCGCUUCCCAAAAUAGGCGAGCGUAAUGUGCCCCAGAGGCCUGGCUGCCAUUAUAGCGGCCUCAAGGAAAACUGCGUCGAAUGAAUGGCUUGUCUGUGAAUGGCUGUAUGCUUGUGACAUGGUUGUAUUUCCUCCUUUCAUUGUUUACCACAGACACGCCCAGCAUAGGUGUAUUUACUUGAUUUGUUAUAAGCACAAAUCAAUAUUGUUGUCUCUCAGGAACAAACUGUGAAUCGAUACUUGAAGGUAGUGGAUGAAUCUUUACAACCUUAGUGCAUACCACUCCAGCUGUCAACUGUGCCUCACCAGACCUUAUUUCAGCCUGGAUCAAAGCAACAAAGGAAUUUGGCGUGUUUUGCUUUUUCGUUGUUUUUGCAACACUUUAUCCAAUAAUCAGAUUGGCACAGAGAGAAGAAUAACCAUGGGCCAGUCAGCAGACUCAAAAAAGACCAGAAAUAAAUGUGUCUGCUGUUCCCGAGUGUUUCAGGAGCUGCUUUCACUUUGUUUUCGUGAUAAAUAGCUGCUGGACUUGAACUUGGAUCUUCUGUGACUCACGUUAUACAUCGAAGUCCAUCCGUUUCUGCUGUUUGAGCUAACGUUAGCAUCUCCGCUAGCUUGUUUUUCCCCGCUUUGCAGAUGCAGAUGCUAAUCAAAACUCCAGCUUUUCCUUUUAAAUAGUUUAAUGACCACAAAGGAACCUUCUGUGCGGAAAAUGGGAGGCAACGUCGCAUGGAAAUCCUCGCCACGCACAUCACGUGUCCAUAUGUUCACUCUCCUCUUAAGUUUUUCAGAUCCUCCUCCGCCAUGUGACUAAAAGAACGGGCGUGUUGUUUUUUUUUUGUUGUUUUUUUUUUAAAAAGCUCGCCAUCGGCAUACUAAAUAUACCCUUUGUAGGACCUGAACCCUCAUUUGCCUUUUCUGUGGCCACUUUAGGUUGACAUAUUCGCUCCGCCGCGGUACCACAGCUACUCAUUACAUAGGAGGGCUUCCAUUUUACAUCCUCUGUAUCGUGUUUCCUUCACACAAGCUCUUAUCCUAUUUAGGUCAGUCAUUGAUCAUUCAGCCACACUCUUUUCAAUAUAACUAGGAGUAGUUUUGUUUUUGGCUCCCUUGUGUUCUCGUGAUAAUUUGUGGAAAGGCGUGGAUUGUAUAAAUGUUCCUCCAGCGUUGAAACACAAUCUGUUCUGUGAUGCUGGUCAAACAAACCAAAGCAGAGUCUGGCAAUUUUUUUCGGUAACGUCAAGGGUUUAGCAGGAGUUAACCACUGUCAAAUAAAUAAGAUAAAAGCACUCUUAAUCUAAUGAAAAUUCACCUUCCUUUUGAUCCACUGCUGGCGUGAGAAGCUAACGUCAAAAGUUUAAACUGGAAAAAAAAAAGAAACGUAGUAUUGUGUCAUUUUUUACAGUGGGUAUCGGUGGUUAAGCCCUUUUAUCGUGGUUGAAAUGAGGUUUAGUCAGAUGACAUGCCAGUUCAAAAUUUGUCUGACAGUUAAGGCAUAUUUUACAAGCUAUAAGGCAUAUACGACUGUAUCUAAUCACAUAAUCAUCCAACCGUCCAUCUGUCAUCUGGUGAGGUUUCAGUGGAUAAUGCAUCCAGACUGCUGUGUCAUCUCUCAGCGGCUGGCCAACCACCGGAGGUCACACCGGUACAUUUAGAUCUUGAAAUUGCACUUUUCCCGAAGUAAUUACGACGAGGCAGCCUUUGAAACACACAGACCAAAAACCACACACUUAUCCACCUGUAGCCAUGACGUUGGAAUGGGACAGAAGUUUCAAUCAUCGUACGAAUGAAUGAUUGCCAGCUGGAGUUGUAAUGCUUGGUUAAGCCUAAACGCAGAGAUUGUUAAAGCCUCGGCUGGACUGACAGAAUCAGUUCAGCAUGCUGCGGGGAACCCGAAAGCUGCCGGCAUUUGUUUUAAGGCUUUUGGCUUGUGUGGUCCACUGUCCUGCCCACCUCUUAGUUUACCGUAUCGCUUCCAUUGACAUAUUUAUAGCCAAACGUGCAUUUAGUACUUUUAUCGGGCCGAUCCUCAGCAUUGUGUUUCAAGUGAUGACCGCCCUCAUUCACGUUGACUUCACAGUCCUCGCCGAACCUCUGGAAGCCCUGCUGCUGGUUCACGUGGUGAUUUUAGGGAGCUAGACCGCUAUAAUCCGAGGAGUUCUCCUAAAUAUUGGGAUUGCGCCGCACCGAUCCCUCCCCCGGGGGGUCAGAUGAAGGGAGGAAAGCCAUAUGUGAUUCACCGCUUGAUCUUGCAAAUCCUACUCAUAAAAUUUGGGGAUUUGAAAUUGAAAAUCCAGCUGUUUCGUCAAAGUACAGUACAUAAAAGAAUAUUAACUAAGACAGGCUAAAGUGAAAAUGGAAAAAAAAAAGUGUCUUCAAUGUAUGAGUUUUACUGACUUACUAUUAAAACUUCUUUAAUGCAUUGUCAGGUACUCUACAUGUAAAAUGUAUGAAGGUUUGGCCUCUGUCAACAUGGUAUGCCACGUUUUCUUCAUAAUUCCAAUGAUGCUUAAGCAUUUUAAUAUCAUAAUGUUGAUUUUUAUGAAUUAAAAAAAUACUAAAAUCUUUAAAAAUCUAUAUAUUCAAAUACUAACCAAUUCCAAUGCGUAAGGGUGUUUGAUUUUGUUUCAUCGACCAGUCUGCUGGCGUGAGGAAGAAUAAGAGGCAGUACUUCUCUGUGGCAUUGAUGUUGAUGCAUGAGCCAGCGUGAGCUCUGAGAGGUUGGCAGCUCGUGAAUGUCCCAAUUCUGCAGCAUCCGCCUUCGCCGCUAUGCUCUCCGGAUGCCCAGAGUCUUGUCUGCAUUGCAUUUGAAAUGUGGGAAGACACCAUCUUGUAUUGUGGGAUGUAACAACUACACAAGUUCCCUGUUGAAUAAAUGUUCCCCAAUUACAUUCCAGCUAAACCUUGACAUUUCUUUGGAUCUUAUCGUGGCCUACACGUGUAAAGUCUUCCUGGGAAAUGGACAGAAUCCCAAAUUGCAUAGCCACGGUUCUCGUGUGCACACAGAUAGGCGAAUGCUCCUUACACGAUCCUCUCUUCCUCAAGUGGGCAUCCAGCCAACAUCAGUGCUCGGUCACCAGCAUGGUACUGAGAACCCCGUGGCCAUGAGCAGGUGUCCGCCUCCUUGUGAAGCCCAAGGAGCCGAGAAGGCAAUACAAAGGGCUCAAAAGAGGCCUGCCAGCAUGGUAACCAUCUUGAAUAUCCAGGCCCGGUACGGCGGCGCCUCUAAAUCUGUCAGCGGCCGUAGGGUGGCUGCCAGUUUUGCUCAUUCUGCUACUGUAGCCCACCAAGCCCUUCGAAUGGGCUUUUAAGCUUUUGUUAAGCCUUGACCUAAAUGGGGCGCAUACACAGCGCAAGCUAGGAUUGGUUAAGAGUUCACGGACACCUAGAAAGUUGUGAUUCGGACUCUUGCCCUUCCCCCCCCCCCUUUUUUUUUU